CAUAGCAUGACGUGUUUUUGACGUUCAUAACAAAGGCCGUGUUCAUGAUCUCUCCACGUUCAGUGAACACAUUAGUUUAGUACAAAUGCAAUUAGCGUGUGAUAUACCGCAGAACUAUACAACGUUGAGGAAGCUAGUAUAUAUAAUAGUAAGAAGGAUAUUUUGUGGACAGUAUGUUAUGAUCUCAUUUUAAGGCAAGAUUGCUUCUCUUCUUGGGUUUUGGCUUCCUUUAAAUUGACUUCAGCACCCCCUCGUUUCAAGGCCCCUGAGGUAAGCCAUAUACCGUAAAAUAUUCCAUUCUAACUCAGUUGUUAUAUCAAAGGCAAACAGGGUUGUGGGAAGUGUGUGUAUAUUAUUAUUAUUAUUAUUAUUUUCAUGGUGAAUAAAGAAGGGGUUGUGGUAGGUUCAACUUAUUCAAUAAUGAACUCAGAUAUGGAUACAAGUUACACUUCCGGUCUUCAAGUCGAUAAAUUUCUCAGAACCACUGUUUCAUCAUCUUGGACCAGAACGAAAAUGGAAAAAAUAUGUUUGCAAAAUGUUCAUAGUUUAAGAAAAAAAGAAAAAUGUUUUUCUUCAUCUACUUAUAAUAGAAUAAUGCAUUCCUUGUAUAAAGACUAAUAAUACAAGCUUAUAAUUAAUUUUGAGAUAUCAUAAUAGUGCUAAAACCUGAGUAAUUAUGUUGCAUGAAUUAUUAUGAUUAUAGAGCGGUGAAAAGCAUUGUUAGUGGCUGACUUGUUAGUGACUUAAUUGGACUAACAACACUAAGGUAAGCGAUGAAUUCCAAUUACCGGAGUUAGAAAUGAAUAUUCAUUAUGAAUGACGUAUUCUGUUGAAUCCCGGGGGUGUUGAAUUUCGGGAAUUGAAGAGUCAUAGCAGUGUCAUAGCGCGCGUAAUUUGAUAGCGUUGUAGAGACGUACAAACUAUUAUGUGGUGCCAAAGAGAACUCGUUUGGGGAAGGGUGUAGAGAACUUAUGUUGGUUACCAGACUUAUUUUAAUUUGUCUUCUCGAUCUCGGUAGGUAGGUAAAAUAUUUUAAUCUGGGUAUACCCUUGAGCUGAGGGUCAAGUUUGAGAGAUAGGCCUAAAUAGCAGCUAGACUUAGCUGGCUAGCCAGACCUACUUAGUAGGCUACUGAGCCAGAACUAAUUGGUAUCAGAGCCUGAGCUGAGGUAGCUACCUAGACGGUAUUUUAGUGAGCUACCUCAGCUCAGGCUCGGCUAAGGCUAAGACUAGUUCUGGCUCAGUAGCCUACUAAGUAGGUCUAGCUAGCCAGCUAAGUCUAGCUGCUAUUUAGGCCUAUCUCUCAAACUUGACCCUCAGCUCAAGGGUAUACCCAGAUUAAAAUAUUUUACCUACCUACCGAGAUCGAGAAGACAAAUUAAAAUAAGUCUGGUAACCAACAUAAGUUCUCUACACCGUUCUCCAAACGAGUUCUCUUUGGCACCACAUAAUAGUUUGUACGUCUCUACAACGCUAUCAAAUUACGCGCGCUAUGACACUGCUAUGACUCUUCAAUUCCCGAAAUUCAACACCCCCGGGAUUCAACAGAAUACGUCAUUCAUAAUGAAUAUUCAUUUCUAACUCCGGUAAUUGGAAUUCAUCG
RNAcentral lists this unclassified non-coding RNA (1602 nucleotides) under Lytechinus variegatus (green sea urchin). Its description in RNAcentral is "lengsin-like, transcript variant X3". The record is from RNAcentral. Lineage: Eukaryota; Metazoa; Echinodermata; Echinoidea; Temnopleuroida; Toxopneustidae.